This 206-nucleotide ribosomal RNA is filed under the name uncultured bacterium. RNAcentral describes it as "partial 16S ribosomal RNA". It matches the Rfam family "Bacterial small subunit ribosomal RNA", at positions 568 to 774 of the family's 1533-position model. The record is from RNAcentral.
CUCGUAGGCGGCCAACUAAGUCAGACGUGAAAUCCCUCGGCUUAACCGGGGAACUGCGUCUGAUACUGGAUGGCUUGAGAUUGGGAGAGGGAUGCGGAAUUCCAGGUGUAGCGGUGAAAUGCGUAGAUAUCUGGAGGAACACCGGUGGCGAAGGCGGCAUCCUGGACCAACACUGACGCUGAGGAGCGAAAGCCAGGGAGCAAACG